UGCGCAGGCGGCCAUGUGUGUCAGGUGUGAAAUACCGGGGCUUAACCCCGGAACUGCGCCUGAAACUACAUGGCUAGAGUACUGGAGAGGGUAGUGGGAUUCACGGUGUAGCAGUGAAAUGCGUAGAUAUCGUGAGGAACACCAGAGGCGAAGGCGACUACCUGGACAGUUACUGACGCUCAGGCACGAAAGCGUGGGGAGCCAAAGGGAUUAGAUACCCCUGUAGUCCACGCCCUAAACGGUGCACACUAGGUCUUGGCGGAUUCGACCCCGCCAGGGCCCAAGCUAACGCGUUAAGUGUGCCGCCUGAGGACUACGGCCGCAAGGCUAAA
This 332-nucleotide ribosomal RNA is filed under the name uncultured bacterium. RNAcentral's name for it is "bacterial SSU rRNA". It matches the Rfam family "Bacterial small subunit ribosomal RNA", at positions 568 to 898 of the family's 1533-position model. The record is from RNAcentral.